RNAcentral lists this ribosomal RNA (600 nucleotides) under uncultured archaeon. RNAcentral describes it as "bacterial SSU rRNA". It matches the Rfam family "Archaeal small subunit ribosomal RNA", at positions 156 to 761 of the family's 1478-position model. The record is from RNAcentral.
AUAGGCAAUAGGCACUGUAAGGUCCUUUUGCUCAAACUCGUGCCCGAGGAUGAGUCGGCGGCCGAUUAGGUAGUUGGCGGGGUAAAGGCCCACCAAGCCUUGGAUCGGUACGGGCCAUGAAAGUGGUAGCCCGGAGAGGGACACUGAGAUACUGGUCCCAGCCCUACGGGGUGCAGCAGGCGCGAAAACUCUCCAAUGUGCGAAAGCGUGAGAGGGGAAUUCCUAGUGCUCAGGCAUUAGCCUGGGCUUUUGCCAUGUGUAAAUAGCAUGGCGAAUAAGUGGUGGGCAAGACUGGUGCCAGCCGCCGCGGUAACACCAGCGCCACGAGUGGCGAUCACGAUUAUUGGGCCUAAAGCGUCCGUAGUCGGCUUGGUACAUCUUCUGUGAAAUCGCAGCGCUUAACGUUGCGGCAUGCGGAAGACACGACCAAGCUUGAGACCGGGAGGCGUCGAGGGUACUCCGGGGGGACCGGGUAAAAUGGUAUAAUCCCCGGAAGACCACCUGUGGCGAAGCGCUCGACGAAUACGGAUCUGACGAUGAGGGACGAAGGCCAGGGGAGCAAACCGGAUAGAUACCCGGAGUAGUCCUGGCCGUAACGCU